UUUAUUAUGUAUCUAGCAGCC
Molecule: non-coding RNA, 21 nt
Filed under: Caenorhabditis elegans
Lineage: Eukaryota; Metazoa; Nematoda; Chromadorea; Rhabditida; Rhabditidae
Source: RNAcentral